AUUGAACGCUGGCGGCAGGCCUAACACAUGCAAGUCGAGCGGAUGAAGGGAGCUUGCUCCUGGAUUCAGCGGCGGACGGGUGAGUAAUGCCUAGGAAUCUGCCUGGUAGUGGGGGAUAACGUCCGGAAACGGGCGCUAAUACCGCAUACGUCCUGAGGGAGAAAGUGGGGGAUCUUCGGACCUCACGCUAUCAGAUGAGCCUAGGUCGGAUUAGCUAGUUGGUGGGGUAAGGGCCUACCAAGGCGACGAUCCGUAACUAGUCUGAGAGGAUGAUCAGUCACACUGGAACUGAGACACGGUCCAGACUCCUACGGGAGGCAGCAGUGGGGAAUAUUGGACAAUGGGCGAAAGCCUGAUCCAGCCAUGCCGCGUGUGUGAAGAAGGUCUUCGGAUUGUAAAGCACUUUAAGUUGGGAGGAAGGGCAGUAAGUUAAUACCUUGCUGUUUUGACGUUACCAACAGAAUAAGCACCGGCUAACUUCGUG
RNAcentral lists this ribosomal RNA (484 nucleotides) under uncultured bacterium. RNAcentral describes it as "partial 16S ribosomal RNA". It matches the Rfam family "Bacterial small subunit ribosomal RNA", at positions 30 to 507 of the family's 1533-position model. The record is from RNAcentral.